This is a long non-coding RNA of Salvelinus namaycush (lake trout), 370 nucleotides long. RefSeq lists it as uncharacterized. The transcript is spliced from 3 exons. Lineage: Eukaryota; Metazoa; Chordata; Actinopteri; Salmoniformes; Salmonidae. The record is from RefSeq and is a predicted model, not a curated record.
AAGGAAACGACUGAACAAAUGAACAACGAAACAGUACAGCAAGUUGUGGCUAAAAUUAAUGGGGAGGAGCUGAAUGGAAGACGGGUCAGUGUGGUCCACCCAGAAGAAAGGAGAGUGCCGGACAGAGCCGAUACACAAGUUUGAGCAGAUGAAGCAGGACGAUCACUGGGAUGAUGAGCGUCUUCGCAAGGAGUUUUCCCAGUUUUGGAACGAUCACGAGUGCAAUGAUGAUGAUAACAGAGGGUGGCCGCAGCAAGGGCUUCGGCUUUGUCUCAACGGAGGGGCCCCCAUGCAGCAGCCUGCUGUCCAUGUCCAAGGCCAGGAGCCUCUGAUGGCCUCCAUGCUGGCAACUGCUUGUCCUCAGGAACAG